GGCGGACGGGUGAGUAAUAUAUCGGAACGUGCCCAGUAGCGGGGGAUAACUACUCGAAAGAGUGGCUAAUACCGCAUACGCCCUACGGGGGAARGGGGGGGAUCGCAAGACCUCUCACUAUKGGAGCGGCCGAUAUCGGAUUAGCUAGUKGGKGGGGUAAAGGCUCACCAAGGCAACGAUCCGUAGCUGGUUUGARAGGACRACCAGCCACACUGGGACUGARACACGGCCCARACUCCUACGGGAGGCAGCAGUGGGGAWUUUUGGACAAUGGGGGAAACCCUGAUCCASCCWUCCCGCGUGUAUGAUGAAGGCCUUCGGGUUGUAAAGUACUUUUGGCARARAARAAA
RNAcentral lists this ribosomal RNA (350 nucleotides) under bacterium enrichment culture clone 2C. RNAcentral describes it as "partial 16S ribosomal RNA". It matches the Rfam family "Bacterial small subunit ribosomal RNA", at positions 97 to 450 of the family's 1533-position model. The record is from RNAcentral.